Molecule: long non-coding RNA, 182 nt
Organism: Chiroxiphia lanceolata (lance-tailed manakin)
Lineage: Eukaryota; Metazoa; Chordata; Aves; Passeriformes; Pipridae
Exons: 2
Source: RefSeq, a predicted model, not a curated record
CUCAGAAAAGAAGUUUAGGGCUUCUCUGUAAGUGGUCUUCAAUUAAAGCCUGCAAUGAUGAAACUCACUGAGACUGACGGAGGAAAUAAAAGGAGAGAAACCACUGAAAUGCAUCUUCGGAAGCAGAUUAUUAAAUGUCCCGCAGACAUCGGUGCGACUGACAGCCACCAGAGCUUAGUGAA